UACAGAGGGGGCAAGCGUUGUUCGGAAUUACUGGGCGUAAAGGGCGCGUAGGCGGCCUUCUAAGUCGAACGUGAAAUCCCCGGGGCUCAACCGGGGAACUGCGUCUGAUACUGGGCGGCUUGAAUUCGGGAGAGGGAUGCGGAAUUCCAGGUGUAGCGGUGAAAUGCGUAGAUAUCUGGAGGAACACCGGUGGCGAAGGCGGCAUCCUGGACCGAGAUUGACGCUGAGGCGCGAAAGCCAGGGGAGCAAACGGG
Molecule: ribosomal RNA, 254 nt
Filed under: uncultured bacterium
Lineage: Bacteria
Description: partial 16S ribosomal RNA
Rfam family: Bacterial small subunit ribosomal RNA
Source: RNAcentral